GGAGAGGUGGCCGAGUGGUUGAAGGCGGCGGCCUCGAAAGCCGUUGUACUCCAUUGGGGUACCGCGAGUUCGAAUCUCGCCCUCUCCGCCA
RNAcentral lists this transfer RNA (91 nucleotides) under Candidatus Hydrogenedentota bacterium. RNAcentral describes it as "tRNA-Ser". It matches the Rfam family "tRNA". From Rfam's summary of the family: Transfer RNA (tRNA) molecules are approximately 80 nucleotides in length. Lineage: Bacteria; Pseudomonadati; Candidatus Hydrogenedentota. The record is from RNAcentral.